Molecule: ribosomal RNA, 725 nt
Filed under: uncultured Lachnospiraceae bacterium
Lineage: Bacteria; Bacillati; Bacillota; Clostridia; Lachnospirales; Lachnospiraceae
Description: bacterial SSU rRNA
Rfam family: Bacterial small subunit ribosomal RNA
Source: RNAcentral
CGCUGGCGGCGUGCUUCACACAAGCAAGUCGAACGAAGCAUUUAGGAUUGAAGUUUUCGGAUGGAUUUCCUAUAUGACUGAGUGGCGGACGGGUGAGUAACGCGUGGGGAACCUGCCCUAUACAGGGGGAUAACAGCUGGAAACGGCUGCUAAUACCGCAUAAGCGCACAGAAUCGCAUGAUUCAGUGUGAAAAGCCCUGGCAGUAUAGGAUGGUCCCGCGUCUGAUUAGCUGGUUGGUGAGGUAACGGCUCACCAAGGCGACGAUCAGUAGCCGGCUUGAGAGAGUGAACGGCCACAUUGGGACUGAGACACGGCCCAAACUCCUACGGGAGGCAGCAGUGGGGAAUAUUGCACAAUGGGGGAAACCCUGAUGCAGCGACGCCGCGUGAGUGAAGAAGUAUUUCGGUAUGUAAAGCUCUAUCAGCAGGGAAGAAAACAGACGGUACCUGACUAAGAAGCCCCGGCUAACUACGUGCCAGCAGCCGCGGUAAUACGUAGGGGGCAAGCGUUAUCCGGAAUUACUGGGUGUAAAGGGUGCGUAGGUGGCAUGGUAAGUCAGAAGUGAAAGCCCGGGGCUUAACCCCGGGACUGCUUUUGAAACUGUCAUGCUGGAGUGCAGGAGAGGUAAGCGGAAUUCCUAGUGUAGCGGUGAAAUGCGUAGAUAUUAGGAGGAACACCAGUGGCGAAGGCGGCUUACUGGACUGUCACUGACACUGAUGCACGA